UACGAAGGGGGCUAGCGUUGCUCGGAAUCACUGGGCGUAAAGGGCGCGUAGGCGGCCGAUCAAGUCGGAGGUGAAAGCCCAGGGCUCAACCCUGGAAUGGCCUUCGAUACUGGUUGGCUCGAGACCGGAAGAGGUAAGUGGAACUGCGAGUGUAGAGGUGAAAUGCGUAGAUAUCUGGAGGAACACCGGUGGCGAAGGCGGCAUCCUGGACCGGCAUUGACGCUGAGGCGCGAAAGCCAGGGGAGCAAACGGG
Molecule: ribosomal RNA, 253 nt
Filed under: uncultured bacterium
Lineage: Bacteria
Description: partial 16S ribosomal RNA
Rfam family: Bacterial small subunit ribosomal RNA
Source: RNAcentral